Podarcis lilfordi (Lilford's wall lizard) is the source of this 32631-nucleotide non-coding RNA. NCBI's taxonomy places the organism in Eukaryota, Metazoa, Chordata, Lepidosauria, Squamata, Lacertidae. The record is from the annotation of a GenBank genome assembly.
UUCCAUUCCUGCCCUUCGCAAUAAUAUCCUAGGAGACAUUAUAACAAUCUUAUUAUAUAAGCCUAUACCUGUGACACUCUUCAUCCAAAUUAACCUUAUUUUUCUCUCCCUCUUAUUCUUUUACCUACAAAAGUUAUUCAUAAUCAUCAUAAAUCUUGAGACAUGGUUCUGUGGAGAAGCAAUUCUUUAUAAUCUUCAUGUUGUGCAUUGAUAAUUUCCUAUUUUUAUAAGUUUUCUCUGAUUUUUGAAACUAGGCAGUAUAUAUACCAGUUUUUCAAGAGUGAUUUGAAUCACAAAAUGGAUCAGUCCUGUCUCUUGAGACUGUAAAAAAGAGGGAAAUAGUUAUUUGCUGGUUGUUUCUCUGAAUUUAGAAAUCAGCAUGGGCAGGCCAUAGGACCUACCAUAAUAAAUGAAUGACUGCUGUUUCGUCUCUUAGCUAAAUAUCACCUGUUCCAGGUAGAACAAUAUGCUGUGCUUUCUUGUUUUCGAAACUGCUGGUUUUAACAGUUUGAAAACUUCUUUUAAUUUCUCUUUUUAUUGGUACACAAUGGAUGUUUUCUGUAACCUGCUUGGGGUUCUGAUGACUUAAUGGGACAUAGAAUAAAUAAACAUGCAGUUGCCAUUUGUAGCUCAAGUAUAACAAUAUUUCUAUAUUUUGUUUGGUUCUGAAGCUAACUUAAAGUUAGUCAAGUGCUUCCAUUAGGAAGCACUGGAAAAGUGGUUUUGCCAGUUUUCUCUGCGAGGCUCUGUUUUUCUUUCUUUCCAGUGACUGAAGUUUGCAUUCAAAGCACUUUAAACACCUGCUGCUUUCUCUUCAGUUGAGCAAGUAUUCUAGGCAUCUUCAAGGUUUUCUCCACAAAUUAUCCACUUUUAGGUGUGUUUUAUGGCUGCAGAGACUUUAAAUGGGUUCUAACUGAUGACCUGUACUCCUUUCCACCUCUCAAUCUUGGCCCACUGGGGAGAUUAGGAUGUGGUCAGCUGUGGGCUGCAGUGCGGCUUCUCAAACAUUUUUUCCUGGUAAACUCAAGGUCAUUUUUUUUUGUCCAAAUGGUUGUCCUCUUCUAAAUGCCAGUUGAUGCACAUCAUUUACUGUUAUCUGUGAUGUGUUUAUAGACCGAAUUGCACUUGCAGCUGUAUCCAUAAACUUCAGGUACCUUCUAAGUAUGGUGUGCCUGAGAAUUGCAGGUGUCCAACCAGUAUACAUUGCUAUCUUAUGAACAAGAUCAUCGUCAAUGGCGUCAGGUAUAGGUUGCAUGCACUCAGGAUUCUGCAGCUGUGACUUCAAGUUAUUGGCCAGAAACUCUGUUGCUGGCCACAAGUACUGAGUUAGCUCCGGUUUCUUGGGAAAUAAAGUUUCCUGCAGGUAUUCCAAAAAUAUCCUAAAUGAAAAAAGUCCCUCUGCAAGGAGUUCCAGGCAUCCUUCCUUUUCAAAUGUAGAGGGGGAGCAUUUACUUUCGCUAUGGAUCUCUGGGAUAAGCAAAUGUUCCUGAGGCAGAUGACUCCAAUCGGUAUCACAUGUGCCUCGCAGAUUACACAGCGUUUUAUACAACUUGGUAGUCUUUUUUAUUAGCCAGAUAGCCAAAGGCAAGGCUUCGGGAGUGGCACCUAACUCUUUCUCAAAAGGCAUGCUAGCAGUCUGAGCCUCAGCCAUGAUGAAAAGCAUGGCAGCAGUGGCAGUGCAAAGGAGAACAUUCAUUGUCUUCUCUUCCGGCUUUACUCUUCCCUUUAUCUCUCGCUUGUGUCUAAGGGUGCUGGCUGGAUGGAUGUAGCAAUUCCUUAUGAGGCAAGGAUUUCACCCUACGAGGGCACCUGACAAAAAUAGCAUGGAUAAAAAUACAACAGUGAAUGUAGAGCAGAACAGAAAUGACAACUAAAAGCAGGAGAAUAAAUAAGGUGUUUUCAUGUCUCUGGAGGGCAUAUGCAGCCACCAUGGCCAUUGUUGGAGCUACUACAGUGGUACCUCGGGUUAAGAACUUAAUUCAUUCUGGAGGUCCAUUCUUAACCUGAAACUGUUCUUAACCUGAGGUACCACUCCAGGUAAUGGGGCCUCCCUCUACCACCACACGAUUUCUGUUCUCAUCCUGAAGCAAAGUUCUUAACCCGAGGUCCUAUUUCUGGGUUAGCGGAGUCUGUAACCUGAAGCGUCUGUAACCUGAAGCAUCUGUAACCCGAGGUACCACUGUAUUAGAUAAAAUAAAGCAACUGCCUCAGGUAACAUAUUUGAGAGGGGCACUGUUUAGCUUGUCUCAGGCAGUACGAUGCCUUGGGCCACCUCUAAUCAUUUAUUGACUUAUUCACCAUGAGUAAGUCUAAUCUUUUUCUAAAUCCAUUCCUGUCCAUUGCUAUCAAAAUCUUUGGGGGGGGGGGGGGGCGGGGGGGGGGGGGGGGGGGGGGGGGGGGGGGGGGGGGGGGGGGGGGGGGGGGGGGGGGGGGGGGGGGGGGGGGGGGGGGUGGGGUGGUUACAAAGCAUGGAUCCACAUGGAUCCUCAGGAUUUUUGCACUGGGCUACCCCAAACUCACCAUCAAAUCACAUAUCUGUGGCCACAGCUUGAACCACAAAAAUCCACUGUUUCGUUCAGAAUAUUUUUUUUCUUGUUUUCCUCCUCUAAAAACUAGGUGCGUCUUAUGGAGUGAAAAAUACGGCAUAUUUCAAUUAUGUUCCAAACAACUUUGAUAUAUCUUGUAAUCCAUAAAUGACCGUAGAAAAAUGGCAGUUGUAAUCCAAAUAUUGUUAUUGUAAUACCAAAUGAGUGGCAGGGUCAAAUAUUGAGCAUUCCAGAUGCUGUGCCCUGGUCUUCAUCAAACGUCAGUAUGGAAAUUCCACCUUCCAAAUUAAACUCCAGCUGUUCCAGGCACUCUGCCUCCAUGACGUUACCCCCCAAGUUCGACAAAGUCUUCUCCUGCCAAGUUUCAGUUGCAAAUAUGAAGUUCCAGAGUCCUUUUAACUUGUUCCCAAUUUAAUUGCCAGAUCUCUUUCUAGUAAGGUUAAAGCUUACUGGGAAAUGAUAUACAAUGAAUUGAAAAGGAUGGCCUCUCUCUCCUUCAGGUGGGUUGGUACAUUGGCCAGUUUCUCUCUUCCUGGGAAGGACAGCCAAAUGGGGACACAUGGAUUAGUCAGUAUCCUGGCACCAGCAUGUGGUCACAAUGGCCAAUCUCCUUCAAGCAGGUGACAUCAGCAUAUGGUCACAGUGGCCAGUCCCUCUCCUUCGGGUGAGCAGCAUCAGCAUGAAGUCACAAAGGCUGGGGCCUUUUUCAAGCAAGCAGCAGCAACAUGAGGUCACAGUGGCCAGUUUCUGUCUUGGAGGCCAGUGGUAUCAUCAUGUGGGGAGUACAUUGGUCAACCUUCAUUGGAGCAGGUAUAGUGGACACAUUGCCCUGCUCAUCAAGGUAGGCAGAAGGAGGACUGUAUGGCUACUGUAAAUUUUAUAUCAUGCCAUGGUUUAAGAGAAAAUUACAUGAACAUAAUAUAUCGUUGGUAACCAACAGCGAGUAAACUGGCAAAAAUGUAUAAAUCUAAACCAAACAAGUGUUGGAAAUAUAAAGAGAAAGAAGGUUCUUUUUAUCAUAUGUGGUGGUCUUGUAUAAGGUUAAAGCUUACAGGGAAAUGAUAUAUAAUGCAUUGAAAAGGAUGUUUGAAAUAACCUUUGUAAAAAAACAAAACCCAGAAUCUUUUCUUUUGGGAAUUAUAGGGACAGAACUACCUAAAUUGUAUAGAAAUUUAUGUAUGCUACUAGAGCAGCAAAAUGCUACUUGCUCAAAAAUGGAAAUAAGCAGAAGUCCCAGUAAAGGAAGAAUGGAUACAAAAACUUAGGGAAUAUGCAGAAAUGGCGAAACUCACUGAAAGAAUAAGAAAUCAAGGUAACAAACUUUUUUAAAUAAAUGAAUGGAAAUGGUUUGUUGAAUAUUUACAGAUAUAUUGCAAACAGAUAAAAACACUGGCAGGGUUAUUGUAAUAACCUGCAGUUUCAUAAGAGUAUACAUUCAAAGUAGAUAAUUAAAUGAGCAAAUUAAAUGAAUUUGAAUAUGCAGAAGAUAUUGAAAAAUAAAUAUAAGGAACCGUAGAAAGAGGGGGAAGGAAGUCAAACUUUGAAAUGUUAACUUGAUUGUAAAACUAAUGAAAUGUAUAAACUUGAAAAGUAUAAAUAAAAACUUUUGUAAAAGAAAAAGAAAAAAGAAAGGCCUGCCUUUACAUCAGGGACUGGACAAGGACUGCCCACCUGAUGUCAGUGUUAGUUUCUGUUUGCGCCACUGUGCAGUUGCUUGGAGUCACAGGACUCUGUUUACAUUCUAGGGAUUCCAGAUUGUUGGAAGUCUCACGGAAGACAGGAAACGGAUGUGAUGUUUACUGGUUUCCUGUUCCUUUGUGUUUUCAGUUGCCCUCUACUCUCACAGAGAGUUGAUGUAUUUUCUUUUCUGUCUGCGUAAUUAGGAAUAAAACUCUUUAGCCAUGUAGCUCAUACUAUCUCGUCCUUCCGCAUGCUGCUGUAUACUCUGCGUAAUGGGGGAACAUGCUUGGAGCCUCAUCAAAGGCUCAGGUCAUUAAUCACGGCGGAGGACUCGACCGGAAGAGUCGCUUGGUCAAACACAAGUCUGACAGUCAGAGACUGGCUGGAUGAUAAGAAGUGUGGGGGGGCACUAUCCAAGAAGCCCUCAUGGAAAUCCCAGAGGAAAAAGUUUCAGAGCCUGGGGAUUGGUGUUGGGACAUUGAAGGCAGGUCAGAGGGUUAAGGGGAUGGGGAAGGAGUGGUUGGAUGGUGAAGAGGCAACCGACUUUAGUGAGCAAGAAGAGCCAGAAAGCAGUUCAGACUCAGCAGAUGAAGCAGAGGAGGAGGGGCCAGAGGCUACAGAAGUAUCCAAGGAGCUUGCCUUUCCUACUGUAGUAAGCUCCCUUCUUCCCCCCAUCUCCAAGGCCACGGAGAGCUAUGCGUGUAGCAGAAAAAGAGCACAGGUUCCUCUCCCCUGACGUGGUUUAAGGCUGCUUGGGAAACAUCCUGCUAAGGAGAAGGAGACUUAAGGGGAAAUAGGAGGCAGGGACUGCCAGUCCUGGCAACCUUUGCAUAGGGGCCCGUCCUGUUCUGAGGGGCUGCUGCCUUGCAUGCUGUUUUCUUGAAUAAUGAGUUAACUUUUCUGUGUCUUGAGUGCCGACCUGCAUCUGAAGCAGCCCUGACACCUAGCUCUCUUGUAACACAGCCUUUGCCAAGUUGCUGCCUUCCCUAUGUCAAUGGACUAGCGCUCCCAUCGGCUCUGGCCAGCGCGUGCUGGAGGGCACCAAGUUCUCGAAGGCUGCCCUAACAUGUUUUGACAAAGUGGGAGGCAAUGCUUAGCAAGAUUAAAACAAGGAGAGGAGAGCACUGACUGGCCAUUAAAGCAUUAGCACCAUCUCAUCAUUUACCUAAAGGGAUGCUCCAUUGACUCCAGAGGUGCUUACUUCCAAGUGAGCUGGUGCAGCACAGAGCCUUUGACACAGAACUGGAGAGGUGUCUGUCCCUGGUUAAAAAUCUCAGGCCUGCCAUGAACUCAUCCGGUGGCCUUAAGCAAGCACCCUCAGGCAGCCUCAGCCCUCCUUGUGAGGAUAAAUAAACUGAACAGCCUAACAUGGUUGUUGUAAGAAUUACUGUGGGGUCCUGUAUGUACCAGGGACGCGGGUGGUGCUGUGGGUUAAACCACAGAGCCUAGGACUUGCCGAUCAGAAGGUCGGCGGUUCGAAUCCCCGCGACGGGGUGAGCUCCCGUUGCUCGGUCCCUGCUCCUGCCAACCUAGCAGUACGAAAGCACGUCAAAGUGCAAGUAGAUAAAUAGGUACCACUCCGGCGGGAUGGUAAACGGCGUUUCCGUGCACUGCUCUGGUUCACCAGAAGCAGCUUAGUCAUGCUAGCCACAUGACCCGGAAGCUGUACACCAGCUCCCUCGGCCAAUAAAGCGAGAUGAGCGCCGCAACCCCAGAGUCGACUGGACCUAAUGGUCAGGGGUCCCUUUACCUUUACCUUUACCUGUAUGUACCAGACUUUUCCGUGUAUAAGGCAAGGGUUGUUUUACUCUAAAAGAAUGUUAAAAACCACCAACGAUAGAAGAAUGGCAGAUGAAGAUGUUGGAGUUUCUGGAGCUGGCUGACCUUACUGGAAGAAUCCGCGAACAGAAAGAGGGGGAAUACCAAGAAGACUGGAUGAAAUAUAAAGACUAUUUAGCUAAAUAUUGUAAUAUAAUAUAAUUGAGAAGGUUCUUGAAAGUACUAAAGAGGCCUAGGAUAACAAUAAGAAUGUGGUAUAGUAAUAUGGAUUUAAGACAAUAAGAAAAGAGUUGAAUAUAGUUAAUUGAAGGAACUAAUUACAGUGGUACCUCGGGCUACAUACGCUUCAGGUUACAUACGCUUCAGGUUACACACUCUGCUAACCCAGAAAUAGGGCGUCAGGUUAAGAACUUUGCUUCAGGAUAAGAACAGAAAUAGGGCUCCAGCGGGGCGGCAGCAGCAGGAGGCCCCAUUAGCUAAAGUGGUGCUUCAGGUUAAGAACAGUUUCAGGUUAAGUACGGACCUCCAGAACGAAUUAAGUACUUAACCCGAGGUACCACUGUAUUUAGAAAGAUGUUUGGGAGAACUGUUACAAGGUGAUAUAACGAAAUUCAAUUUGAGGAAGUCACUUAACAAUGGAAUUUAAAAUGAAUAUAAGAAGGAAUAUGUGUGUUUUUUUCUUUUUCUUUUUCUUUUUCAGUAUUGUAAUGUGCUUUGUUUUGUGUGUUUUAUAUGUUAUAAUUGUUAUAAAUGUGGAAAACUAAUAAAAAAAAUUGGGGCGAAAAGAAUGUUAAAAAUCGGGGUGGCGUCUUAUACACGGAUAGUGCAUAUGCGGGAUGGGCGAUUGGUUGCAGCUGCGAGCCGGGGGUUGUCAGCAGUGAUUGGGUGGGUGCUUGGUGGCUGUUGGAAGGGCUUCUUAGGAUUGGCUGCUGCUGCGUCAAUGGCUGCCGUGGAUUGGCUGCGGCUGCGAUUGUCAGCGUUGGGUGAGUAAUUUUCAGGGCUCUCCCCUUCAAAAAAAGCUGAACAACUUUGACAAUCCUCCCUCUAAAAAGCUCAACAACUCUGGGUCAUCUCCCCCCACUUUCUUAAAUUGGAGUCUCAGAAGUCUUAAAUAUGGGGACGUCUUAUAAACCAGAAAACACAGUAAAUCCCUUUGGCGUGUUAUGGGUGGCUGCCAACAGAGUCAUCUGAACAAGGACUUCUGCUUGUGCAACAGAGCCUCUCCCUCUCUUCUCCCUGCCCCCCACAUCAGUUUUGGAGGAUUGGGGAGGAGCACCCAAGAUUUGGGGCAGGGGCAGGAGAGAAGAGGGGCAGGCGGGAGAGGCUCCAUGUGUGAACAGGAUAGCUUUAUUGAAUUCAACCCUACAUAAAUGCCAACUAUUCUUAUUGAGUGAGUUGGGACACAGGAAGAAUUAUGUUAAAUACUGUAUUUUUCGCUCCAUAGGGCGCACCGGACCAUAGGGUGCACCUAGUUUUUUGGGGGGGAAUCAAGAAAAAAAAUCUCUCUCCCUGCCGAGAGAGGCUGCGUGGGGCUAAAGAAGCCAUAGCCGCGUGCAACCUCUCCCUGCCGGAGGGGCUGUGCGCGGCUAUCCCUGAAGCCUGGAGAGCGAGAGGGGUCGGUGCACACCAACGCCUCUCGCUCUCCAGGCUUCAGUGAAAGCAACGCGUAGCCUCCGGAGCGCGGAGGGAGCUCUCCCUCUGCGCUUCGGAGGCUUUGCGUUGCUAUCGCUGAAGCCAAGGAGCCUGCAUUCGCUCCAUAGAACGCACACACAUUUCCCCUCAAUUUUUGGAGGGGAAAAAGUGUGUCCUAUAGAGCGAAAAAUACGGUACUUUAUAAAGAGAAAAACCUUUAUUACACGUGAAGGAAAUCACAUUUGGAUUGGGCAAGCCCCUCCCCCACCUUGAGAUUGUGUUAUAGGAAAGAGUUGUCCUAAAUGUUUUCCUUAUUAAUUAAGGAUUGCAUUCAUAUGAUGACCAUAACAUUAUCCUGAGAAGGCAAGGGGGGGGGGGACAGGGGGAGAGAAAUCUCAUUUUCUUCUCAAGCGAUUCAAUUUCUGCUUAAUUUUCUUUUCUCUGCGUUUCUCCCCAAGUCCAAACAGUGUCAUAAAAUAUGGAAUGGAAAGCAAUAACCAGAUCAUUUACAUUAGUGAAACAGCUGCAUUUAAUUCUGCUUCCAUCUAAUACACUGCUAUAGAAAAAUCUCCUCCUAUAGACCAUCUCCCCCCCCCCACUGCAAUACAGCCUUUCCUCGCAUGCUCUUAAUUAUGGCCAUAAUUAAUUUUAAACGGGCAGUCUACCAUCAAUUCUACAUUAUUUGUAAUAUAUCCUCCAGCUGACAGACACACACACACACACAAAACCCCAGAAGAAACGGCCUCUCUCUGGGCUGUCUUUUUAAUGAAACUGGUAGAUUACUUAAGGAAUUGGCACUGAGACUCGUUUGUGCAAAAUUGCCUGGUCCGCUGUCAAAGCACAUUGUGUCUGCCCAUUGAUGGAUUGCAUCACUCAUAGCUUUUAUAGUUGUGGUAAAAGAGGUCAGGCUGCCCAGAUUGAUAAAUCUGAAUUUCUUGUAAUAUUUUAUACCUCUACUAGACAUAUGCAUAGAGCCAAAUUUAUACUUAAGGCUCUGUCCAAAACUUUCAUCUCCGUGGCCAGCUGGCUGGAACUGGAGUCCUUGGACAAACCUUGGGGGAGGAGAAAUACCCAGCAGAGUGAAAAGGAGAUAUAUAUAUAUGGGACGCGGGUGGCGCUGUGGGUUAAACCACAGAGCCUAGGACUUGCUGAUCAGAAGGUCAGCGGUUCGAAUCCCCGCGACAGGGUGAGCUCCCAUUGCUUGGUCCCUGCUCCUGCCAACCUAGCAGUUCGAAAGCACGUCAAAGUGCAAGUAGAUAAAUAGGUACCCCUCCGGCGGGAAGGUAAACGGCGUUUCCAUGCACUGCUCUGGUUCACCAGAAGCGGCUUAGUCAUGCUGGCCACAUGACCCGGAAGCUGUAUGCCGGCUCCCUCGGCCAAUAAAGCGAGAUGAGCACUGCAACCCCAGAGUCGGUCACGACUGGACCUAAUGGUCAGGGGUCUCUUUACCUACACACACACACACACACACACACACACACACACCAGAGAACUGGGCUUAGGUGUCAUCUUGGUUGAACUCCCAACUCCUAUCAGCCUCAGACAGCAUGGUCAGGAAUGACUGGAAGAUAUAGUACAGGAACAAUGGAAGGGCCAUGUGUUACUCAUCCAUGGUCGAAGGAUGACUUGGGUCUUGCAUUCCUGAUAGCCUCCCCGCUUCCCGCAUUAUGGCCCCUGUUAUGUACUGAGUUGAAUAGGACCCAAAAUGCAGCAGUCUGAUUGGUCCUAGAACAAUAGGAUCCUGAAUGCAGCAGUCUGAUUGGUCCGCAGGAGCCACCCAAUCCAACUCCAGAUGGAAGUGAAUCCGCAACCUGAUUGGCCUACAGGAGAAUCCCAGAAUUUAGCCAAUCACGUGGGGCCCAUUGUGUAAAUAAUGUAUAAAGCAGACAUUUCAGGGGAACUUCCAUUCCUCCCUACUAAAGAGCAUAACCAGAGACCUAAUUGCAAACAUGCGCUAGAUUAUGGAGAAAGCUAGAGAGUUCCAGAAAGACAUCAACUUCUGCUUCAUUGACUAUGCAAAAGCCUUUGACUGUGUCGACCACAGCAAACUAUGGCAAGUUCUUAAAGAAAUGGGAGUGCCUGAUCACCUCAUCUGUCUCCUGAGAAAUCUCUAUGUGGGACAAGAAGCUACAGUUAGAACUGGAUAUGGAACAACUAAUUGGUUCAAAAUUGGGAAAGGAGUAUGACAAGGCUGUAUAUUGUCUCCCUCCUUAUUUAACUUACAUGCAGAAUUCAUCAUGCGAAAGGCUGGGCUGGAUGAAUCCCAAGCCGGAAUUAAGAUUGCCGGAAGAAAUAUCAACAACCUCAGAUUUGCAGACGACACAACCUUGAUGGCAGAAAGUGAGGAGGAAUUAAAGAACCUUUUAAUGAGGGUGAAAGAGGAGAGCGCAAAAUAUGGUCUUGAAGCUCAACAUCAAAAAAACAAAGAUCAUGGCCACUGGGCCAAUCACCUCCUGGCAAAUAGAAGGGGAAGAAAUGGAGGCAGUGAGAGAUUUUACUUUCUUGGGCUCUAAGAUCACUGCAGAUGGUGACAGCAGUCACAAAAUUAAAAGACGCCUGCUCCUUGGGAGAAAGGCGAUGGCAAAACUAGACAGCAUCUUAAAAAACAGAGACAUCACCUUGCCAACAAAGGUCCGUAUAGUUAAAGCCAUGGUUUUCCCAGUAGUGAUGUAUGGAAGUGAGAGCUGGACCAUAAAGAAGGCUGAUCGCCGAAGAAUUGAUGCUUUUGAAUUAUGGUGCUGGAGGAGACUCUUGAGAGUCCCAUGGACUGCAAGAAGAUCAAACCUAUCCAUUCUUAAGGAAAUCAGCCCUGAGUGCUCACUGGAAGGACAGAUCAUGAAGCUGAGGCUCCAAGACUUUGGCCACCUCAUGAGAAGAGAAGACUCCCUGGAAAAGACCCUGAUGUUGGGAAAGAUGGAGGGCACAAGGAGAAGGGGACGACAGAGGUUGAGAUGGUUGGACAGUGUUCUCGAAGCUACCAGCAUGAGUUUGACCAAACUGCGGGAGGCAGUGGAAGACAGGAGGGCCUGGCGUGCUCUGGUCCAUGGGGUCACGAAGAGUCGGACACGACUAAACGACUAAACAACAACAAAGAGCAUAAAAUAAAGAGCAUGAAAUCCACACUCGACUCCAAGUAUAUUUCAGCCCCUUUGGCCAUUCCAACUGUGCACAACAAAUGUUUGACAUACCGUAUUUUAAAUUCAGUUCUCCAUGUUUUGCUGCUGUUUGGGAUUUGUUUUUUGUUUCUACAAAAUCCUCAUGAAAAUUCACCAGCAUUUUAGCGCAAAUUUCUAGCAAUAAGCACAUUUUCCCUCACAGUUUUGACGAAAGUAAACGUUUUGUGCAAGCCAUUUCCUCCAAUAGAAUGCAUUUUUGUAUAUUUUCACGCGUCUCUUUGGUUUUAUACACAUUUCCCUUGCUAUUUGCAUUUUUGUAGAUAUUGGUUGGUAGACUGCAUUGCAAAAUUUGGGUAAGUGCAAAUUUCGAAGGAUAGCUAUGUUUCAAUUCGCGUCUUAUUUCAGAAAAUGCAAAUUUUAUAGUUUCAGCUUUCAGUGUAUACUGCAUCAUUUUUUUCCUCCAUCCCAGCUGGAGAACUCUAAUCCAGAAGUAGAUAGUCUUCAAGUCUUCUACUUGAACCCCAAUGUCCACCAACCAGAGCAAGGUGCAAAAUUAUGGCUUGAGAAGCAGGAGCAGACAGACAAUGAUGACUCAAGGGAUCGGGUCUAAAUCUACACCUGAGUUAUUUCAGCAACCUAAUUUGGCAGUGGCAUCAGCUUUAGUUGUUGCUACUGACAACAAAUUAGGAGCCAGAAAUUAUUGCUGACCAGAUGAUGAUGAUGAAAAUUCGUAUACCUCCCGAUCCCCACAGGUCUCAGGGAUGUUCACAAGAUAAAAACACAAUAUAAAAACACAAAAUACAUAUGAUGUGUAUGAUCCUGUGAUUUACCAGUAGGUCCCAAUCUACUGUAUUUUUCGCACCAUAAGACACACUUUUUCCCUCCUAAAAAGUAAGGAGUAAUGUGUGUGCAUCUUAUGGAGCAAAUGCAGGGGGGAGGCAGGCAGGAAAAGCCCCCAAGAGCCGCACACAAGCUCUGCAGCCAGUCAGUCCCUUCUUCCUCCUCCUAGAAAAUCCCGCAGGAGCUGCACGCUCCUUAAAGGGUGAGUGGCUCCUGUGGGCUUUUGCGGGAGGUGGGGCUUCUGCCAUAGCCGCGCACCACCUCUGCUAUGGCAGAGGCCAAGACAGCAAGCGGGAUGGAUCCCGCUCGCAGUCAUGGCUUCCUUAGCUGCACGCAGCCUCUCCCGGCCGGAUGGAUCCCGCUCGCUGUCUUGGCUUCUUUGCUCUUUGAGGCUGGGGGGGACCCAGGCUUCCCCGGCAGCCCCAAGAAGCUCUGGGAGAAGCGGACAGGCUGCGCGCAGCCUGUCCGCUGCUCUUUGGGGCUGAGGGGGGGGAAUCAUAUUUUUUUCUUGAUUUACCCCUCUAAAAACUAGGUGCGCCUUAUGGUCCGGUGCGCCUUAUGGAGUGAAAAAUGCGGUAUCGUCCGGCUACCCCUGCUGCAAUCUACACUUCUUCCAUCUGUUCCUCGCCUCUUAGGCUGGGAUGCCCUUUUAAAUAUCCAGAAUGAUCUCAGCAUCCAAAAAACCCCCCAAAAAACAGUAAUCUAUCAAUUUAUCUUUUUAGGGGAUGGGUGGAAGCAAUUAGUCAGAGCCAAAGGUUAUUAAUUGGGGCCCUGCUCCAUUUUAUGGGGAAUUAAAAGACAGUGCAUUCAUUUUGACCCUGGGCACCAGAUCGAAGCAUCAAAAGAGGUUCCCGGGAAAUUUUCCCCAUGUAUUUAUUUUUUUAUUUAUUUCCACCAGCAGCGGCAAUAAUUUAAAACUGCAUGGGAGACGGGAAUGCGGCUGACAUUCAAAGGCAGCAGCUACGCUUUAGAAGCAGGUGAAACAAGUAGAUUUGAAAGAAGCGGACAUAAAGCAUAAAAGCGAAUCCUUGAUGUUCACGGACCUGAUAUCUGAGAGGGGUGAAGCAAGGGGGGGGGAAAGGAACUAAUGCCAGUCAUAAUUGAUUUGCAGGAUGGGGUAUGUCAAGGGUAGGGAAUGUCAUGCAGGAGCUGAAAUGAGGCAAGUGAAAUGAGCAAAGCCCUCUUCGCCUACUCUUGACAGCGGAGCGAAGAUGGAUGGCAUAUUCCGCUAUCAGGACAGCUGAAAGAAUUGCUUGUGAACACAUCUUGGGGUCCCCAUAUUGAUUGGCCUUGCUUCCACAGCCCAUGCUAAUUAAACAUUACUUUAACAGGAUGAGACUGACUCUGAUCAGAGCUGGAGGGGGAUGGACAGCAAAUGCUGUGCUGUGUACAUCUCUCUGUCCAGAAGAGGACUCGAGCUUUUGGUGUUUUUCCCUUUGAUACAGCUUUGCAAUCUUUCAAAUCGCAGGCCGGUUUGUUCAAUACCAAAUAUAUUAUAAGCCUGAGGAGCCAAGGUGAAUUUUUGGAGACCAUAUAAUUAACAUUACAGUGGUACCUCGGGUGACAUACGCUUCAGGUUACAUAUGCUUCAGGUUACAGACUCCGCUAACCCAGAAAUAGUGCUUCAGGUUAAGAACUUUGCUUCAGGAUGAGAACAGAAAUCGUGCUCUGGCGGCAUGGCGGCAGCGGGAGGCCCCAUUAGCUAAAGUGGUGCUUCAGGUUAAGAAAAGUUUCAGGUUAAGAAAGGACCUCCAGAAUGAAUUAAGUACUUAACCUGAGGUACCACUGUACUUGCAUAUAAUGUUGAUGAGCAUGAAGAAGAAGAAGAAGAGUUUGGAAUUGAUAUCCCACCUUUCACUCCCUUUAAGGAGUCUCAAAGCGGCUAACAUUCUCCUUCCCCUUCCUCCCCCACAACAAACACUCUGUUUUGAUAAUAUCUCUUGGAGUUUUAUGAAGAAGAACCUACAGGGGAUGGGGGUAGGCCAAGGUUUUGAAAAUGGUAUAAGUGCAAUUUAUUCAGAACAAAAGGCUAAACUAAUUGUAAAUAAUGUGGUGACGGAAGAAUUUAAGAUAGAAAAAGGGACAAGACAAAGCUGCCCAAUUUCCCCAUUGCUUUUCAUAUCGGUCCUGGAGGUUCUGCUGAACAUGAUUAGAAGGGACCGGUUGGUUAAAGGUAUACAGGUCAGAGCCAAACAGUACAAACUGAGAGCAUUUGCAGAUGACUUAGUGUUGACGUUACAGGAGCCAGAAUCUAGUACCAAAAGAAUUUUAGAACUGAUUCAAGAAUUUGGUCAAGUUGCAGGAUUUAAGUUGAAUAAGUUAAAGACCAAGGUCUUAGAGAAAAAUUUAACACCAAUGGAGAGAGAGAGGUUUCAGAAUGAGACAGGUUUAACAGUGGUUAAGAAAGUUAAAUAUUUGGGGAUUAACAUGACAGCAAAAAAAUGGGAAUUUAUUUAAAGACAACUAUGAAAAAUGCUGGGCUGAAGUGAAAAAAGAUUUGGAAAUUUGGUCAAAUUUGAAGCUUUCACUGCUGGGCCGUAUUGCUGCGAUAAAAAUGAAUAUAUUGCCUAGAAUGUUGUUUUUGUUUCAAACACUGCAAAUUGUGGACAAAAUGGACUGUUUCAAGAGGUGGCAGAGAGAUAUUUCUAAAUUUGUCUGGCAGGGCAAGAAGCCUAGAAUAAAAUUUAAAAUAUUAACAGAUGCAAAGGAAAGAGGUGGAUUUGCCCUGCCAGACUUUAAACUUUACUAUGAAUCAGCAGCUUUCUGCUGGUUGAAAGAAUGGUUGCUUCUUGAAAACACUGACAUUUUGGAUUUAGAAGGUUUUAACAAUGUAUUUGGAUGGCAUGCAUAUCUGUGGUAUGAUAAGGUCAAAGCACACAAAGCAUUUAAAAAUCACAUCGUCAGGAAAGCAUUGUUUAAUGUCUGGAUAAGAUACAAGGACUUAUUGGAAAAUAAAACCCCAAGGUGGUUGUCACCAAUGGAAGCAAAAGCUUUGAAAAAGCUCAAUAUGGAGGCCAAAUGGCCGAAAUAUUGGGAAAUUUUGGAACAAGACGGAGAUAGACUGAAAUUGCAGAGUUUUGAGAAAUUAAAAAACAAAGUGCGAGACUGGCUUCAUUAUUAUCAGAUAAUGGAGGCAUAUAAUUUGGACAAGAAAAUUGGCUUCCAGGUGGAAAAAUCAAAAUUAGAAACAGAACUGUUAGAACCCAAAACUAAGAUUUUGUCAAAGAUGUAUAACUUGCUGUUGAAAUGGAAUACUCAGGAUGAAACGGUGAAAUCUGCUAUGAUUAAAUGGGCACAAGAUGUUGGACAUAACAUAAUGAUGGCUGACUGGGAACAGUUAUGGACCACAGGUAUGAAGUUUACGGCAUGUAAUGCCUUAAGAGAGAAUAUUAUGAAAAUGAUAUACAGGUGGUACAUGACCCCAGUCAAGCUUGCAAAAAUCUAUCAUUUGCCCGAUAAUAAAUGUUGGAAAUGUAAAGAAACUGAAGGUACAUUCUUUCACCUUUGGUGGACAUGCCCAAGGAUUAAGGCUUUCUGGGAAAUGAUAUAUAAUGAAUUGAAAAAGAUAUUUAAAUAUACCUUAUUGAAGAAACCAGAGGCCUUUCUCCUAGGCAUAGUUGGCCAAUUGGUGCCAAAGAAGGAUAGAACCUUUUUUAUGUAUGCCACAACAGCAGCAAGAAUACUCAUUGCAAAGUACUGGAAGACACAAGAUUUACCCACUCUGGAAGAAUGGCAGAUGAAGCUGAUGGACUAUAUGGAACUGGCAGAAAUGACUGGCAGAAUCCGAGACCAGGGAGAAGAGUCGGUGGAAGAAGAUUGGAAGAAGUUCAAAGAUUAUCUACAGAAAUACUGUAAAAUUAAUGAAUGUUAGAACGAUGUUGGAUAGAAAUUAAGUGGUUUCUAACUGUAAUGCUUCAAGGGAAUAUGAAAAAGGGGUUAUUAAGAGGUAAAAAUCUAACGUUAUUAUUUUAAGACCAAAGAUUAGGAUAAACAAAGAGGGUAAGGAUUUGCUGAACCAACAAACUGAACUGGAAUACAAAAAAGGGAGGUAUGAGGAGGUCCGGGAAACAAGCUAAAGAAAAAUAAGCAAUGGAAAAUCUGAGUGUUUUUAAUCAUUUUUAUUUUGUAUUUUUUUUCUUUUUCAUUUUUUAUUGUAAUAUUUAAAAAAAUCCUAAUAAAUAUCUUAUAAAAAAACAACAACAAACACUCUGUGAGGUGAGUGGGGCUGAGAGACUUCAAAGAAGUGUGACUGGCCCAAGGUCACCCAGCAGCUGCAUGUGGAGGAGCGGAGAAUCGAACCCGGUUCCCCAGAUUACGAGUCUACCGCUCUUAACCACUACACCACACUGGCUCUCAUGGAGGAUGACCACUUAGAGUUGUUGAGUAUGUUGUACGUAUUCAUUCUAGCAGUCUGAAUUUGUGAAUCUCGUUGUGUGAGAGUUUUCUCUUGAAAAUUCUUGAUAUAUGGACAGAAAUAGUGAGGGCUGAAUUAGUGCUAUUUCAGUUCCUUCAGAGUGUUGCCGUUUUCAGGUUUUUGAUGAUAAACGUCAGGAUCUUUGUGGUGGGAGAUUCCCAGGAUCUGAAUACAGUCCCCAGGUCAACUAUGAGAUGAAAGUGAAGAAAAAGACUUUGGGAACAAAAAGAGCUGACAGCAAUGUUGCUAUGAUCCCAACCCUAGACAAGGUCUAUUCCUCUAUUGUUCUUUUCCUCCUGAAUUCCAAUUUAACUGAGGGAAUGUUUUUUGUUUUUUGUUUUACUAUUAUUAUUUUAAUUAAUUUUGUUUUAAAAAGCAGCAAGCAAAUUAAACAGAGCUAUCUUAGAGAAAAGAACAGGGUUACAAAAAUAGACUUCUACCAAACCACAGGGCAUAUUCUGAUAAACAGUAAAAGCAUCUCCAUUUGCCUGCUGCAUUGCUUGCUUGUUGAAAAUCCUCUCUUUUUAUGAAUUUCUUCAUAAGCUGAUCCCAGCUUAUUCCAGCCUCCCUCAACUUGGUGCCCUCCAGGUCUUGCUAGGGUUGAUAGGAGUAGUGGGCACCAUUUGGAGAAGGAUGCUUCAUCCAUUUUUCUAUUAGAAAAAUUAAUUGAUUAAAAAAAUCAAUUCAUGAACCAAUAGAUGCCCAGCAUUUUCCUCCCAAUACCUUGCCCAGACACUAUUCCAGAUAUCAAGACAUUCAUGACCAAGGGUUCCAAAGUGCUUGGUAAAUCUUUCCCAGAUACACCUAGCAGCAUUCUUGGUUACAAAAUACUGAAGUCUGGAAUCCCAGCCCCAUAUGUCUGCUUCUAACAGUACAUUUUCUUUAUAUGCAAGUAGAAUCAGGAAGUAUGGGGACCUAAAAUGCAGAUAUAGGAUUCAAAUGGAAGCUUCCUCCAUUUUAUUUGCAAACCGAUCACUCAGCGUUCAACCAGGCAACCAACUUCUUCAAAGAGAAGAGACAGAAAGGAACAGGAAACUGCCUUGAUAGUGUAUUUCCAAUUAGCAAAGCUGAGUGGAAAAGUCAGGGGAACCUUAAAUCAAAAAGUAUACAGAGAAUGGAAAAUAUUUAAGAAAUAUAUAAGACUAUAUUGUAAAAAUGAGACCAUCCUAUCAUAAUUGAAUGAUAUUUAUGUAUAAUAAAUAAAUAGAAUAAACAUCUUAGCGGUAUAUAUGAAAAAAGAAAUAAGCUGCGUGAUAAAAUCAAGACAAUAGAAAAGGCAUAAUGAGAAGGAUUGGAAGCUUUUCACAGAAGACUUUAUUGGAUAAGAUAUGAUGUUGUAUAAAUAUCUGGUAUUUUAAAUUGUUAUUUUUUUCUUCUUGUUACUUUUAAACUUUUUGUAUUUUUGGAUGUGCAGAAUUUUUCUCUUUUCUUUUUUCUUCUUUUCUUUUCUGUGCUUAACUUUGUAGUAUUUACCUUUAUUGUAAGAUUGUAUUUUAAACCAAUAAAGAUGUAUUUUUUUAAAAAAAGGAAACUGCCCUUGCUUCCUCUCUCUCCAAAGACCUAGUUGACCUUUGACCUAGUUGAGCCUUCUCUAGAAAAUAACAGCUCUGUGGUCCUUAACUCCUUCAUUUACCAACUCUCAUAGACCUGCAUUGUUCGGUUUGACUGCAAAAUCUCCCACGUUGAUAGUGUUUCAAAUACAGUGCAUUCAAACAUAGCAUUUUAUGCAUAUUAUAUCUUUAGCAGACCCACCCAAAACCUUUGAGCAUCUGUGAAUCCUGUUGUUGUUGUUUAGUCGUUUAGUCGUGUCCGACUCUUCGUGACCCCAUGGACCAGAGCACACCAGGCACUCCUGUCUUCCACUGCCUCCCGCAGUUUGGUCAAACUCAUGCUGGUAGCUUCGAGAACACUGUCCAACCAUCUCGUCCUCUGUCGUCCCCUUCUCCUUGUGCCCUCCAUCUUUCCCAACAUCAGGGUCUUUUCCAGGGAGUUUCUCUUCUUAUGAGGUGGUCAAAGUAUUGGAGCCUCAGCUUCAGGAUCUGUCCUUCCAGUGAGCACUCAGGGCUGAUUUCCUUCAGAAUGGAUAGGUUUGAUCUUCUUGCAGUCCAUGGAACUCUCAAGAGUCUCCUCCAGCAACAUAAUUCAAAAGCAUCAAUUAUUCAGCGAUCAGCCUUCUUUAUGGUCCAGCUCUCACUUCCAUACAUCACUACUGGGAAAACCAUAGCUUUGACAAAGACAAAGACAUCAGGUGAAUCCUGUUAGUCUCAUACAAAGCCCUCUUACAUGGAUAGGAAUCGCGGGAGCCUUGGAUUUCUUCAAAAGGAGAUUUGAAAAAUUCACACUUGUGAAUAAGUCUAUCAAUGGUUAUUAGCCCUGGCAGAUGGAUGUAACUGGGUUCACAGGCAUCAUUCCUUGAGAGAUGGGGAAGAAAACUCCAGGUGCUUAGAGAUGUUGUGACAACAUCCCUCAGUAAAGAUGGGAGUGAUGUGAUGUGACAGGGUUUUGAGAUGGUUUCAAAACUUCUGACUCUUCCUGUCAGAACACUUAAGAGGUCUGUUAUUAUCUCUCUGCGGUGAUGUUUCUUAAUAACCAGCAGCAAGGCAUUGCAAUUAUGUGGAAGAAGAGCCUGUGACCACAUGGAUGAGGCAUUUUGGGAACAAACCGAGAACAUUUAUUUAUACUUGAUGAGGUUCAUAGCUUAACAGGUACUCCAAUAAGGCAGAACACUUUGUUUUGUUUUAAAAAAAUAAUUUUUUAUUAAAGAUUUCUUAGUUUACAAAAAUACGUGCAUUGUCUCUUCUUUCAAGUUGUGUUUCCUACAGAUCAGUUUCAUUUGUUGUGAGACAUUAGUUUUGCAUACAGUGUGUUAGGUUAGGAAGAAAAGAGGAAGGGGAAAUGGUGAGUGGUACCUCAGGUUAAGUACUUAAUUCGUUCUUGAGGUCUGUUCUUAACCUGAAACUGUUCUUAACCUGAGCACCACUUUAGCUAAUGGGGCCUCCUGCUGCCGCUGCGCCGCCGCCACACAAUUUCUGUUCUCAUCCUAAAGCAAAGUUCUUAACCCGAGGUAAAAUUUCUGGGUUAGCGGAGUCUGUAACCUGAAGCGUAUGUAACCUGAAGCAUAUGUAACCUGAGGUACCACUGUAUUCUACUUAUUGUAUGUGUGGGGUUUUGUGUCAGUGUUACUUGUGUGGGUUCUCUUACUAUUCGCUUGUUGUAUUUCCUUGGUUGUGAGAGAGGCUGGGGUGGGCCUAGGGUGUGGCUGCUUGUCUUUGGUUGGUUGUAGUGAGAUUUGUUUUUGUGUGUGAGUGGGGUGUGUGUGUUUGUUUCAGUCAGGUUAGCCAGAUUGAUUCGUAUGCUGUUGGUGGAUUAUUCUUGUUGUCGUGUUGGGCUGUGUACAGUGUACCUUGGGUUACAGACUCUUCAGGUUACAGAUGCUUCGGGUUACAAACUCCGCUAACCAGGAAGUAGUUGUUCCAGGUUGAGAACUUUGCUCCAGGAUGAGAAUGGAAAUCAUGCGCUGGUGUCGCGGCAGCAGUGGGAGGCCCCGUUAGCAAAAGCACGCCUCAGGUUAAGAAUGGUUUCAGGUUAAGAAGGGACCUCCGGAACGAAUUAAAUUCUUAACCCGAGGUACCACUGUAUGUGAUAAAGGGGAACUAUACUGGGGUGAAGGCGUCUUCUUCUAUUUGUCCCCAUGUCAGUUUCAGUUUAUUAGUUAGUUUUUCUAAUAGGGCUGUUUCUCAUACUAUUUGAUACCAUUGGUCCAUGCCAGGCUUCCUCAACCUCGGCCCUCCAGAUGUUUUUGGCCUACAACUCCCAUGAUCCCUAGCUACCAGGACCAGUGGUCAGGGAUGAUGGGAACUGUAAUCUCAAAACAUCUGGAGGGCUGAGGUUGAGGAAGCCUGGUCCAUGCUUACUCCUGACAGGUCUCUCCAAUGUCUGGCUGUGAUUCUUUUAGAUAAUAAUCCCCACUCACAUCAAAAAGAGCUCAUAACCCACCUACUCAUGGCAGAACACUUUGUUAUGAACACACACUCUUCACAAAAAUAAGCCAAAAACUUUAUUGAAAUUCUCAUUUUAAACCUGUCUUUAAAUAGACUGAUUCCUUCUAGAAUGGCUAUUGGUCCUACACUUUCAGCGCCUUCUAGAAUUUUUACUUUCCCCUAAGAAAAACAAUCUGGGUUACCCUGCCUAGCUAGACCAUAAUUCAGCUCUAACCAGGCUCUAAAUGGAUCUCUAACUAGGCACUGUCCAUGCCCUAACUAACACUGACAGACAAGCCCUAUCUGACAGUUAGACUGUCUAAUUCUAACAUUCAACUCUCCACUCUCUCUCCUGAUUGGAAGACACUCCGCCCAGCUCUGAUUGGUUUCUGGGUCACCUGGAGGCUAACCCAUGAUUUGUCCAUCACAGAUGCACUUUAUUGUAGGCCCAAUGCAUUUUUCGAAAAAACCUUCUUUUCAAGGGAAUGUGUUUAGAAACAACCCGCACUUUCAAGGUAUAAUGCAGUAAUUCUUGUUCAUCUGGGGGUCAAAUCAAAUGAGAUGUUAAAUGCAUUUUAAAAAAAAAAACUUUUUAAAAACCCAUAAAUUGCAGCCACUAUUGGGAGGAAAACUCAUAUUAUUCCUAGUUCAAUUAGGAACUACAGAGGAGCAAUUUUCAUCUGGGGGAGGAAAAGGUUAAACCCUCCCUCCCUGUCUGCUGUGAUCUCCCUCUAGACACAAAGUGGCUGCUGUUUGCACUUCUAAAAAACACAUGCACAAGGAUCACAGGGGAUAAUUCACUCAACACAUUUCUUUCAGAUCACUGUAAUUGCCCUUGUUCAUCAGUUUUAUAUUACAUUUACACCCCAUCUUUUCUGCAAGGAGCCCAGUUCGUUUCUGAGCACAAUUCAAAGUGUUGGUGCUGACCUUUAAAGCCCUAAGCUGCCUCGGUCCAGUAUACCUGAAGGAGCUUCUCCACCCCCAUCGUUCAGCCCGGACACUGAGAUCCAGUGCCAAGGGUCUUCUGGCAGUUCCCUCGCUGCAAGAAGUGAGGUUACAGGGAACCAGGCAGAGGGCCUUCUUGGUAGUGGCUCCUGCCCUGUGGAAUGCCCUCCCAGCAGUUGUCAAGGCAAUAAACAACUAUUAUACUUUUAAAAGACAACUGAAGGCGGCCCUGUUUAGGGAAGCUUUUAAUGUCUGUUGCUGUAUUGUUUUUAAUAUUCGGUUGGAAGCCACCCAGAGUGGCUGGGGAAACCCAGCCAGAUGGGCAGGGUAUAAAUAAUAAAUGAUUAAAUAUUCUUAUUAUGGUGGCAUACACACUUCUCCUCUCUAUUUUAUCCUCACAGGAAUCCUGAAGGUUUGGCUGAGAAAUAGUGACUGGCCCAAGGUAACCUGGUAGGCUUCAAGACUGUCGGACUUGCUUUCGACCAAGCUACUUCUCCGGUCGAGUCCUCCGACGGUGAUUAACGACCUGAGCCUUUGAUGAGGCUCCAGGCACGUUCCCUCAUUACACAGAGUAUACAGCAGCAGCUGAAGACGAAAAACGUAUGAGCUACAUUGCUACAUUUUAUUUCUAACUAUGCAGGACAGAAAAGAAAAUACAUCUGCUCUCUGUGAAAGCAGAGAACCAACUGGAACAAAGAAAACAGGAAACCAGUAAUAUCAACAUCCAUCUCCCAUGAGACUUCCAACAGUCUGGAAUGUAAACAGAGUCUUGUGACUCCAAGCACUGCACAGUGGCAAUAAACAGAAACCUAACAAAGACCAACCCUGGUCUCCCGAUUCCUAGCCCAGUACAGUGGUACCUCGGGUUAUGAACUUAAUUCGUUCCGGAAGUCUGUUCUUAACCCGAAGCAUUCUUAAACCGAGGCAUGCAUUCCUUACAUAGGCCUCCCGCGGCCCUGGAAGCGGAUUGUGUUCGUAUCCUGGGGCAAAGUUCGCAACCCAGGACACCUACUUCCAGGUUUGUGGAGUUCAUAAACCGAAGCGUUCGUAAGCAGGACUGUUCGCAACCCGAGGUACCACUGUACUCUAACAGCUUUAGCACACUGGAGAAUCCCAUUCUUGGCUCACUGCACUCCCUGGGCUUACCAACUUUGCUAUUGCCUAUAUGCCAUAAACUUUGAAAAGAGUUUCUGGAUUUUCUCACAUGCUGUAAUUUGUUCCCCCGCCAUAAAAGUUGAAAGAAUUUGAUGUCUUUUUAUCUUCAUCUUUUAUUGAUAUUGAUUUCUUCCUAAAUUUACUUAUUUUGAAACCUAGGCUGGGCUAAGCUGGACCGACAUUCUGGUCAACCCUGCUUAAAUUGUUUAUCAUUUAUACUUUGCUGGAUCCCACUUUCAAUUAAAGUACGCUGCAUUAACAUUCAGAUGCUACUUUGCUUGGCGGAUCCCAGAAGCCUUGUCCUGAGGGGUUGUGUCCAUCAUAAAGAAAUAUAUUCCUGCCACUCACUAGUCAAAACUGUGAGCGUUUUAUUCUUCUUUCAAUUAAUCAAACAGUUCCAGCUGGGAAACUGGGAGCAAAAUCUUUAAAGCAGAUCUGGUUUAUUGGAGCAGAUUGUGUUCCGAGCUGUUGUUCAAUGAAAGCAGCCAGAUUUCCCUUUUAUGCAGAUUUUUUUGGUGAGUGUUGAAAAAUAAAAUAAGAUGCUAGUUCGGUGCCUACUCACAUUUAUCUUCUACCACAAACAUUUUUCAUUCUGAACCCUAACGACAAAAUGUUAUAUAGCAAAGAACCGUCUUACCCAUAGUUUGAAUAAUGGCCCCUUGGCUUAUUAAUAAAAGAUAAUGAGGUAGAUAUUUCUAAUAGGAUAGCUUUUUUUAAGAACAAUUUAAGCAAACAGGAGCUUUUCAUCUUGCAGCUAAUGUUCAUUCAGACUUUCAAGUCUUUUGAGUCAUGGGAUAUCUCCACAUAGCUGCUAUUGUCCAGGUGGGAUCCAGUCACAUACUUUCAAAUUCAGGUUGCAUUUUGAUGGGAGAUAUCCUGCUUCCUGUGGUCACAGUAGCCAGCCAGAUGCCAACCAGGCAAGCAGGAUUUGAGCACAAAGAACACUCAUCCAGAGAGCUAGUGUGGUGUAGUGGUUAAGACCGGUAGACUCGUAAUCUGGUGAAUCGGGUUCACUUCCCCACUCCUCCACAUACAACUGCUGGGUGACCUUGGGCUAGUCACACUUCUUUGAAGUCUCUCAGCCCCACUCACCUCACAGAGUGUUUGUUGUGGGGGAGGAAGGGAAAGGAGAAUGUUAGCCUCUUUGAGACUCUUUCGAGUAGUGAUAAAGCGGGAUAUCAAAUCCAAACUCUUCUUCUUCAUCAUCAUCAUCCCGGCUGCAGCUUCCAGCAACUGGCAUUCAGAAUUGUUCGUUUGUUUGUUUGUUCGUUUCUUCCUUCCUUCCUUCCUUCCUUCCUUAUACCCCACCCAUCUGGCCAGGCUUCCCCAGCCACUCUGGGCAGCUCCCAACAUUGAUAAAACAUCAAACAUUAAAAACUUCCCUCAACAGGGCUGCCUCCAGCUGUCUUCUAAAAGUCAGAUUGUUGUUUAUCUCCUUGACAUCUGAUGGGAGGGCGUUCCACAGGGUGGGCCCUGUUAGCAUAGUUCCGUUCCACCUUAAAAAGGGAACAGGCUGUUGUGUAUCACAUGCCUGUUCACUUCCAGCUUCCCUCUAGGAACUUCUGUUUUGUAUAUAGCUUUUGUUCUGUCUGUUUUCCUGGACACGGAGGCAAGCAGUCAUAUUUUUCCUUUGUUCUGAUCUACAUUGAAUAGAGCUGUAAAUAUGCUCUCCUGUCUGCAACUUUCGUUGUGGAGACUGCACGAUUCUUGGAAUGUCGCUGAGGCUCUUGUCGCUAAUUGACUGAUGCUGUUCCACGGGAAACCGGUGAUCGUCCGGAGACGACUGGUGGCCUGCCUGAUGCCUCCGUCUCCCUGGCAGUAUCCCAACAGGCCCCACUACCGAGAAGGCCCUCUGCCUGGUUCCCUGUAACCUCACUUCUCGCAAUGAGGGAACCUCCAGAAUACCCGUGGAGUUGGACCUCAGUGUCCAGGCAGAAUGAUGGGGGUGGAGACGCUCCUUCAGGUAUACUGCCUGAGGGUAUAGCUCAGUGGUAGAGCAUUUGACUGCAAAAGCAUUACUGCCUCCAACCGUGGAGACAGAGCAUAGCCAUCAUAAUUGUAGCCAUUGACAAAUGGAACUAUGUGUCUGCAUCUCAGGAGCAGCUUCGGAGGAAGUUGGGGGCUCGCAGCACGAUUAGACAUGGGCACGGCACUUGCUACGUGGCUCAGCUUGGGGCUUUUGCUCCUGGCGCUGCUUUUACCCUCUCAGACGAGUGGCGGUAGUGGAAGAACUCUAUCGGCUGCAAACAACCAUUCAAGUCCAACGUCCGCACCACUUAGCACACUGAACAAUACCACCACCAAGGGACAUGGAAGCUCUCUUCAAUCAACUACUGGCCUCUUCAUUUUCACAAUCUCUCUUAAGAAAUCCUGGUUGGGAAAUUUCCACCAUUCCCUACCCAGUGCCCUGAACCAUCUGAGAUGGCUAGACCUUCCUAUCCCAGCAUGAAAAAGAACCACAGAAUACCUGCAUCAAGUCAGUGCAGUUUGCGCUAUAGUUCAGUUACUGGUACCAACUGGACUGAGAGUCUUAUAAGACCACCUGAUGAUCCAAUGCCAUUUCCCCUGAAAAUCAACCCUAUGACCAUUCAAGAUUUGGAAGGCUGUGGGGUGGGCACCAGUCUUCAACAGCUGGAAUUGGAAAUAUAAGACAAAGAAGUACAACUUGACUGGCCAUGGAUAAUGACUACCAUGAAACACAUAGGAGAGAGAUCAUGAAGUAAUGCAAAAUAAGGACUCUUUAAUUUGAAUGAAAAUGAAGCUUCGAAAACCACCAGAAAAUACAAAUGGCGCUGGUUCAGUUAACUCAGUUUCGUAUACAGUGGUACUUCGGGUUACAGAUGCUUCAGGUUAGAGAUGCUUCAGGUUACAGACUCUGCUAACCCAGAAAUAGUUCCUCGGGUUAAGAACUUUGCUUCAGGAUAAGAACAGAAAUUGUGUGGCGGCAGCGCAGCAGCAGCGGGAGGCCCCAUUAGCUAAAGUGGUGCUUCAGGUUAAGAACAGUUUCAGGUUAAGAACAGACCUCCGGAACGAAUUAAGUACGUAACCAGAGGUACUACUGUGUAAGGAUGUAUCCAGCAGAACAGAGAAGUAGCCACUGAUAGGCUUCUUCUCCAUGAAUUUCUCCAAUUGGCUUUUAAAGCCAUCCAGGGUUGGUGGCCAACGCUGCCUUAACUGUGUGAAGAACUACUUUCUUUUAUCUGUCCCGAAUCUUCCAGCAUUAGAGGACCACGAGUUCUAGUGUGAGAACACUCACUUUGACGCAACACCAUCUAACCAUACAGUUUGCUAAAUAGCCAACGCCAUCUAAUUACCCACAAACAGAUCGGGAUGAAUGCUCAAUAAUCAGGUCAUCUGGAAAUGCUCUUGGGAUACAUACAACCUACAGGUUGUGUCCCUUGCUUCGGCUAAUUAGUCAGAACAUCAUAGGGUGGAAUAGGCCAACUGGUUUUAUGCGCAGAUGUUCCCCACCCCCAAUUAAUGCAGCUGUCUCGUUCUGCAGAUGCUUUUGAAGACAUCACCUGUAGUGUCUGCAAAAGACCAAGAGAGCAUUUUGCAGGGCGGCCAGGUAUGAAUCCCAAGGUGGAAAAAGACAGGCGAUCAAGUAGAUAUGCGUUUUGAAGAAACCCUUUAUUGAGGAGAAAUGUUAGUGUUUCUUAAUAAAAAGUGCUCAGGAAAGGUUUUCUGCCACCAUUCAUCUCUCGUUGACAUGCUUCUGCGCAACCUCAAAUGCUAUUUUUUGUAGCAUGUCCACCUUGUCUUCAUAAGUCACACUAACAAUACCUCCUCUUCUAGACUGUGUCACUUGUGAAUGCUGCUGCAAAAUGGGGGUGGCAACAUUAUCAGAUUGACUGUACAUCAAUGUAGCUUUGUCAUUCAGUAGUAAGAGAUGCAAAACAUAACUGAAGCACCCUCUGUGAAAAUGACCUUGGGGUAAGCAAUCUGCAUCUGGCAAGAUUGGCAGCCUGGUGGAAGGGCGGGGGGAAGGAUUGUGAUAAGAUAAACAUAUUAGAUAAGGAAGGAUUAAGUAGAGCCCAGUUGCCCUUCAAGGUCACCUUGGCAUUGCCCAAGAUCCGUUAAUGGUCCAAUCCACAAAUCUGAAUAAGGACUGAGCACUGUACCUCAUCACAUUCAACUCGUCCUUUGCGCCACGCCAUGUGCUUGUUGAUGACAUUUGUAUCCUCUCCUGCUACCUCUGGUGCACUUAAGUCUUAAAAAAAAUACGAAGUGGGGACCCUUGAAAAAAACACAGGCGGGUGAAGCCUGUGACCGUGGGACUCGGCGGGCACCUUUUGCGCCCCCCCAAUCUGCAAAGGAGCCCAAUUACGGGCUCCGGAGUGAAGCGGGGAUGCAGCACGGUACUGAGAGUCAACUGCUUCUUCCGUGGAGCGAAGCCGCACAGCCGUUACCGGAGAGCGCUACCUUUUUCCUGUGACAAUUUGGCUACAAAAACAACUACCCGUGAGUAGGUUAAUUUCGGAAAUAAAGGAGAACAAAGACGUAAUUUGAUACCAAAGCGGGGAGGCAUAAACAGGAAGUCUGCCUUCCAUUCUUUGUAAAUAGAGUAAAGCAAUGAACGUGUAAGCUAAAACCUUGAAAGACGUUCGAAAAGGACUACAAUUCUAACAUCAAAACAAGUGAUUUCCCCCUUGGCUGCAGGAGAGGAGGGGGGAAAGGUGUGAACUGUAUUUUCCUGCAAAAAGAGAGGAAAGGAAGCUAAAAUCCACCGCUUAAAACCUGGGAACGGGAUGCCAAUGAACAAUAAGAAUGCCGUACUGUGAAAUGCGCUGUUGGUGAAUAGAGUACUUUUUGACAGCUAACUCUGCAAGUGAGAUAAAGCUUUCACUGCUAGGCCGUAUUGCUGCGAUAAAAAUGAAUGUAUUGCCUAGAAUGUUAUUUUUGUUUCAAACAUUGCAAAUUUUGGAUAAAAUGGAUUGCUUCAAGAAGUGGCAGAGAGAUAUUUCUAGAUUUGUCUGGCAGGGCAAGAAGCCUAGAAUAAAAUUUAAAAUACUAACGGAUGCAAAGGAAAGAGGCGGAUUUGCCCUGCCAGACCUUAAACUUUAUUAUGAAUCAGCAGCUUUUUGCUGGCUGAAAGAAUAGCUGCUUCUUGAAAACACAGACAUUUUGGAUUUAGAAGGCUUUAAUAAUGUAUUUGGAUGGCAUGCAUAUUUAUGGUAUGAUAAGGUCAAAGCACAUAAAGCAUUUAAAAAUCAUAUUGUCAGGAAAGCAUUGUUUAAUGUCUGGAUAAGAUACAAGGACCUACUUGAAAAUAAAACCCCAAGGUGGUUGUCACCAAUGGAAGCGAAGGCUCAGAAAAAGCUCAAUAUGGAGGCCAAAUGGCCGAAAUAUUGGGAAAUUUUGGAACAAGAGGGAGACAGAUUGAAAUUGCAGAGUUUUGAAAAACUAAAAAAUAAAGUGCGAGAUUGGCUUCAUUACUAUCAGAUAAUGGAGGCAUAUAAUUUGGACAAGAAAAUUGGCUUCCAGGUGGAAAAAUCAAAAUUAGAAACAGAACUGUUAGAACCCAAAACCAAGAUUUUGUCAAAGAUGUAUAACUUGCUGUUGAAAUGGAAUACUCAGGAUGAAACGGUGAAAUCUGCUAUGAUUAAAUGGGCACAAGAUGUUGGACAUAACAUAAUGAUGGCUGACUGGGAACAGUUAUGGACCACAGGUAUGAAGUUUACGGCAUGUAAUGCCUUAAGAGAGAAUAUUAUGAAAAUGAUAUACAGGUGGUACAUGACCCCAGUCAAGCUUGCAAAAAUCUAUCAUUUGCCCGAUAAUAAAUGUUGGAAAUGUAAAGAAACUGAAGGCACAUUCUUUCACCUUUGGUGGACAUGCCCAAGGAUUAAGGCUUUCUGGAGAUGAUUUAUAAUGAAAUGAAAAAGGUAUUUAAAUAUACCUUUCUGAAGAAACCAGAGGCCUUUCUCCUGGGCAUGGUUGGCCAAUUGGUGUCAAAGAAGGAUAGAACUUUCUUUAUGUAUGCUACAACAGCAGCAAGAAUACUUAUUGCAAAGUAUUGGAAGACACAAGAUCUACCCACCCUGGAAGAAUGGCAGAUGAAGGUGAUGGACUAUAUGGAACUGGAGGAAAUGACUGGCAGAAUCCGAGACCAGGGAGAAGAGUUGGUGGAAGAAGAUUGGAAGAAAUUUAAAGACUAUUUACAGAAAUACUGUAAAAUUAAUGAAUGUUAGAAUGAUGUCAGAAUGAAGUUAAGUGGUUUUAGCAGCAAUGUUACAAAGGAGUAUGUAAAAAUGGAUUGUUAACAGGUGAGAAUUCAAAGUUACAAUAUAUUAAGUUAAAGGAUUAGGAUAAAAACAAAGAGGGAAAGGAUUUGCUGAAUUAGCUAACUGAAUUGGAAUACAAAAAAGGGAGGUGUGAGGAGGUCAGGGAAACAAGUAAAUGAAAGAAGUGUUUUUACUUUUCUGUAUUUUGUAUUUUUUCUUUUCUUUUCUUUUUCUCUUUUUUCUAUUUUUAUAACUUUUUUUAAAACUUUAAUAAAUAUCAUUAAAAAAAAAGUCUUAAAAAAAUAUAUAUCACCAGGCUUUUAGACAUUUUCAUGCUACAGUGUAUGUAGGCGGCAACAUUGUCAUCAGACACAUUUGCAUUGGUAAAUUAGCCCAAAGGUAAGCCUCUGCACUAGGGAUGCGGGUAGCGCUGUGGGUUAAACCACAGAGCCUAGGACUUGCCGAUCAGAAGGUUGGUGAUUCGAAUCCCUGCAACGGGGUGAGCUCCCGUUGUUUGGUCCCAGCUCCUGCCAACCUAGCAGUUCGAAAGCAUGUCAAAGUGCAAGUAGAUAAAUAGGUACUGCUCUGGCGGGAAGGUAAACGGCGUUUCCGUGUACUGCUCUGGUUCGCCAGAAGCAGCUUAGUCAUGCUGGCCACAUGAUCCAAAAGCUGUACGUUGGCUCCCUCGGCCAAUAAAGUGAGAUGAGCACUGCAACCCCAGAGUUGGUCACGACUGGACCUAACGGUCAGGGGUCCCUUUACCUUUACCUUAAGCCUCUGCACUAGGUUGUUGUUUUUUUAAAAGGUUACUGACACUUGGAUGGUUAAGUCCAAUCAAAGUCGACUAUGGGGUGCGGCGCUCAUCUUGCUUUCAGGUCGAGGGAGCCAGCGUUUGUCCAUAGACAGCUUUUCCAGGUCAUGUGGCCAGCAUGACUAAACCUCUCCUGGCGCAACGGAACACCGUGACAGAAAUCAGAGCGCAUGGAAAUGCCGUUUACCUGCCCGCCACAGCGGUACCUAUUAAUCUAUUUGCACUGGCGUGCUUUGAAACUGCUAGGUUGGCAGGAGCUGGGACAGAGCUUACCCCGUUGCACAGAUUUGAACUGAUGACCUUCUGAUCAGCAAGCCCAAGAGGCUCAGUGGUUUAGACCACAGCGCCACCCACUCCCAGCCUCUGCACUAAAGGAACCAUGGCCCAAUAUGCCUGCAAUGACUCUCCUCUUUGUUUCACAUGUAACACAUGUUUAUUUCAUGUGUUAUCCCUCUGCCAUCCUGGACAAACAAUACAACAAUGUACCGUACAGACUCUGCAUAUGUGGGCAGAAGACAUAUUGCACUAUUUACUAUAUUGCCCACUAUACACUGGACCCAGGAGGUGAUUUCUCACCUUACCAUUCAUACAGGAAAGAUGUCCUUUCCCAGCAGAGAAGAUCCUGUGGCUUCUUAGCUAUGUAAAUUUUUCAGUGACUCACAAAGUUGCCCUUUUUGCUCCAGUGGUCAAAAAGAUCAGAAAUAAGACCCUGGACAAUAUAGGGUUGAACUGUAAGGGAGAUGAAGAUCUAAAUGGAUACUUUUAUUUGUGACAUGGCAUCCCUUUACAUGUCUUUAUUUUUGAUUCAGAUUUGUCAUGGCCAAUGGCUAGUACAAUAAAGUUACUGUAUUUUUCGCUCUAUAGGACGCACCUUGUUUUAGAGGGGGAAAACAAGAACAAAAAUUCUCCCCCUCUCUGCUCAGCACCCCUUCAGCGAAGCGGCAGGAGAAAUGGAGCCCCUUCCAUUUCUCCUCCUGCUUGGCUGAAGGGGCGCUGCGCAGCUCUCCCUCUCUGCUGAAGUCAGGAGAGUCUUACUCUCCCAGCUUCAGCAAAAGGAACCUGAAGCCUGUGGAGCGCAGCGGGAACUCGCACUGGUGCGCACCGACCCCUCUCACUCUCCAGGCUUCAGUGAAAGCAACGCAAAGCCAAGGAGCCUGCAUUCGCUCCAUAGGACGGACACACAUUUCCCCUUAAUUUUGGGAGGAGAAAAAGUGUGUCCUAUAGAGCGAAAAAUACGGUAUUUGGAUUGAAGUUAUUAUGGUUAUUUCCUGUGUUAUCUAGGCAUGUUUGGUGGGAAUGUUUGGGAGUGAGGGUUGUAUGUGGACGUUUGCUGAGGAUGACCUUGGGAAAUGUUACUGAGGCAAAUGUGGCUGCCUUUGUUUAUUUGCUAAUUAUGUUUUAUAUGAGGAAUGUUUAUUGUGCUUUUGCAUUUGAUUUGAAUUUGUAAUGUUGCGAGGGGUAUGUUUGAGAUAAAAUUUUGUUUUGCUAUAAUUUAUCCAGCUUUACAACUGGAUCUUUAUUGCAUUUUGCAUUUAUAUUUAUGUUGUAUUUUGAUAUUCUGUAAUGUACUAUUUGAUGUUUUGAGAUUAUUAUAUUUAAUAUAAAGCAGGAUAGAAAUAUUUUCAAUCAAUCAAUCACUGGUGUAAACAUUAUCUCAGAGGAAACUCUAGCAGUUUAUUCCAAACAGAGUGUACACCACUCUGAAGACCCUGUGCUCUGAAGGAGUGAUUGUCCUUCUAGGUGGUGGACAUGUCCAGAGAUCAGAAAGUUCUGGGACAUGAUCCAUGAAGAAAUAAAAAAGUUACUAAGAACUUCACAUAGCAAAAGACUAGAAACAUACCUUUUGGGAAUACAGUGAUACCUCGGGUUACAUACGCUUCAGGUUACAGACUCCGCUAACCCAGAAAUAGUACCUGGGGUUAAGAACUUUGCUUCAGGGUGAGAACAGGAAUCGUGCUCUGGUGGAGCAGCGGCAGCAGGAGGCCCCAUUAGCUAAAGUGGUGCUUCAGGUUAAGAACAGUUUCAGGUUAAGAACAGACCUCCAGAACGAAUUAAGUUCUUAACCUGAGGUACCACUGUACUUGUUUUACAGUGGCAACAGCUGCAACUCUUUUUAUAGUGAUGUUUAUUAUUUAGAAAGACAAGGUUCUAAUGUGAAAGUGAUGGAAGUCUAUUAAUAUUAUUUUGUAAAAUAGUGUUUAUUGUAUUGAAAUAUUAUAUUUUCUUUAUUCUUUUCUUGUCUACUUUUCUUUGCAUUAUUUUUCUUUACCCCCCGCCCCUUUAUAUUAUUCUUUAUGUCUGGUUUGGUAUUGAUGUAUUUACUUUGCAAUUUUUUUUAAAAAAAAGCUGUGUCUGCCUGGAUGCUAGAAGCAGUUUUCAAAUGUAGUUUUGAAUUUAAAAAGUGGGCUGCAGCUACAGUUGUUAGACAUCAAGUGCCUGCAUACAGUGGUAUCGAAAUGACCCCCUUCUCUCAUCAGUACAAAAUGCCCCCCUUCAAAAAACUGUAAUGGCACAAGGCGCUUAUAUGUAUCACGCUACAGUGGUACCUCGGGUUAAGUACUUAAUUCGUUCCGGAGGUCCGAACUUAACCUGAAACUGUUCUUAACCUGAAGCGCCAUUUUAGCUAAUGGGGCCUCCUGUUGCUGCCGCGCCACCGGAGCACGAUUUCUGUUCUCAAUCUGAAGCAAAGUUCUUAACCUGAAGCACUAUUCCUGGAUUAGCGGAGUAUGUAACCUGAAGCAUAUGUAACCUGAAGCGUAUGUAACCUGAAGCGUAUGUAACCUGAAGGGGAUGUCACCUGAGGUACCACUGUAUUUGUUCAGCUAGCCUUGUAUUGUUUUUGCUGGUUAUCCAAGUUCUUAGGCAGAAGUCCACCUAAUCCUUUUUAGCUGGAGGUGCUAGGGACUGAAUCUGCAUUCAGAUCAGGAGUUCUAGACUCUAGACAGUGGGUGACAUUUAUGAUAUCCUUCCUUACAUAUUGCAGACUUACACACAAUGAAAAGGCAUGGCUAAUCAUAGAAUUGUUUGAGCCCAGAAUCGUCCAGUCCAAUCCCUUGCCAUGCAGGAUUGCCCAAUGUGGGGCUUGAAGCCACGGCCCUGAGAUUAAGAGUCUCAUGUUUUACCAGCUGAGCUAUCACUCUUGAAGACUUUUUCUCUGAUGUGCUAUUUUUGUUGUUGCAGGUUAUAUAUGCUAGUUUUCUUCUUGCAGUUUGCACUUUUGUGUGACUAUAAAAAAUUAUAGGGAAGCACAGAGGAAUUUCCUCAAGAAUGGAUAGGUUUGAUCUUAGGUUUGACCUUAUGGUGCUGGAGGAGACUCUUGAGAGUCCCAUGGACUGCAAGAAGAUCAAACCUCUCCAUUCUGAAGGAAAUCAGCCCUGAGUGCUCACUGGAAGGACAGGUCCUGAAGCUGAGGCUCCAAUACUUUGGCCACCUCAUGAGAAGAGAAGACUCCCUGGAAAAGACCCUGAUGUUGGGAAAGAUGGAGGGCACAAGGAGAAGGGGACAACAGAGGA